This 402-nucleotide ribosomal RNA is filed under the name uncultured bacterium. Its description in RNAcentral is "bacterial SSU rRNA". It matches the Rfam family "Bacterial small subunit ribosomal RNA", at positions 975 to 1375 of the family's 1533-position model. The record is from RNAcentral.
CUGGGUUUGACAUCCCGAGAAUCCCGCAGAAACGCGGGGGUGCCUCUUUGAGGAACUCGGUGACAGGUGCUGCAUGGCUGUCGUCAGCUCGUGUCGUGAGAUGUUGGGUUAAGUCCCGCAACGAGCGCAACCCUUGCCUUUAGUUGCCAGCAUUGAGUUGGGCACUCUAAAGGGACUGCCGGUGUUAAACCGGAGGAAGGUGGGGAUGACGUCAAGUCCUCAUGGCCCCUAUGUCCAGGGCUACACACGUACUACAAUGGCCGGUACAAAGGGCUGCGAACCCGCGAGGGGGGGCUAAUCCCAGAAAGCCGGCCUCAGUUCGGAUCGGAGUCUGCAACUCGACUCCGUGAAGUUGGAAUCGCUAGUAAUCGCGGAUCAGCAUGCCGCGGUGAAUACGUUCCC